Prunus persica (peach) is the source of this 898-nucleotide long non-coding RNA. RefSeq lists it as uncharacterized. The record is from RefSeq and is a predicted model, not a curated record. Lineage: Eukaryota; Viridiplantae; Streptophyta; Magnoliopsida; Rosales; Rosaceae. The transcript has 2 exons.
AGAGAACAGCCGUAGGAAGAAAAGAAAGAUAGCAAGCACGCCAAAAAGAGCAAGAGUCAUCUUAAGUCCACAACCAACAGGGAAGACUGUCUUCCAUGAUGAUUUCAAUAAUCAUAUUUCCAACAGGCAACUUUGGUUAAAUGCUUCCAAACGCAGGGGAUGUCUCAAAUCAUGGAGAGUUAAGGAGGAUAUGGUGGUCACCAUGGAAUCAAAAUCAAAGAAGGAGGGCGUAUAAAAACCUCUCUAUGGAGUAUCUAAAAAUAAAUGGGUUUCACGUCAAUUGAAUUGCCCCCCUAUGGGCACCUGCCGCCGGCAAGUCAACAAGAAAAAAAAAACCAAAAAAAAGAAGAAAAGAGCCAGCGGAGGAAGAGAUAAUGGAGCAAAAGAAAAAAUGGUGGGUUUGCUUGUUGUGUUUUGUUUGCAAAGAAACAAAACAAAGAGCAGCUGAAAAAAGAAAAAAAAAAAAAAGGGGCUAUGUCGCACAACCCUCCCUCCCUCUGUUGGUCUGCUUAGAUUGGAAAAAAAGGAGUAAGGAAGAAGAGAGAAUGGAGUAAAAAAUGGUGGCUGGCUUUGUUCUUGUGUUUUGUUUGCAAAGAGACCAAAUAGGGGCAACGUAGUAAAAAAAAGAGUUAAUGAAAUAAAAAAAGGAGGCCUGUGUCGCACAGCCCCUCCCUAUCUUGAAUCAAAAUUCAUGGUCAACUUUGAUUAAAAAAAUGAGUAAAGAAAAAGCUCUCAAUAUGGAAGAAGACAAAGCAAAUACUCAACCUAGACUUGUCUUUAUGAAGCAAGAAGACAAACUGCUCAUGAAGCUCUCAAUGUGGCAAGUCAACUACAUAGAAAUAAACAAACGAAAAAAACAAGAAGAAGAAAAUGAAGAUUAUGAGUGUGGGUUACCACG